UACGUAGGGGGCUAGCGUUGUUCGGAUUUAUUGGGCGUAAAGGGCAUGUAGGCGGUUAUGCAAGUGUGGGUUUAAAGGCGCAGGCUCAACCUGUAGCAUGGUCUGCAAACUACAUAACUAGAGUUUGGGAUGGGAGACUGGAAUUCCGCGUGUAGGGGUGAAAUCUGUAGAGAUGCGGAAGAAUACCGGCGGCGAAGGCGAGUCUCUGGCCUAAAACUGACGCUGAGAUGCGAAAGUGUGGGGAGCAAACAGG
RNAcentral lists this ribosomal RNA (253 nucleotides) under uncultured bacterium. RNAcentral's name for it is "partial 16S ribosomal RNA". It matches the Rfam family "Bacterial small subunit ribosomal RNA", at positions 524 to 776 of the family's 1533-position model. The record is from RNAcentral.